CAAAAUUUCCUAAUACCCUCGUUCACUCGUUUUCAACUCUUUUAGCAUACUAUCUCAAACAAAAUACCUUAAUGUCUUCACUUAAUCAUCUUCAUUCAGAAAAAUCUAUUGAAAAUCAUUGGCUUCAUCCAAUCUUUAGCUUAAAAUCUCCGAUACCCAUAAUCUAUUAACCCUAAAUCAAAGCCCUGGUCUUUGAGAGGAAAGUUUAUGCAAUAUCAAUUAUUGGGCAUUUCCCAGUUGUUGUUACCAAUUUGUUGGAAUUAACAAGACUAUGAAAAUGGUGUCUUUCUAGCCCUUGAGUCAUCAAGAGCAUGUUACUAAUGUUGAUUUUGAUGUCGGAAAUGGGAGCGCUCAGGAGUUACUUUCAUAUUUGAAAUUCAGUUUCAGCGAGUCAGAUUUCGCUAAAGCUGAGUCUAUUUUGAUGGCAAAAGAAGCCAAACUGAAGCUUGAAAUCGAAAUUACACAAGCCCAUGAAUGGCUCAUGGAAAAAUUGGUGCGUGAAGGAAUGGAAAAACACAGAAUCCAACAGUUUUGGGAACUACAAAAAUUAAAUUUUGAACUUACUCAGGAGAAAAAUAUUGUUUUUUUAGCAACAGAGAAAGGCUGAGAAGGAAGCAAGAGUUGGAGGAACAAAUAUAUGCAG
Molecule: long non-coding RNA, 643 nt
Organism: Pistacia vera
Lineage: Eukaryota; Viridiplantae; Streptophyta; Magnoliopsida; Sapindales; Anacardiaceae
Exons: 4
Source: RefSeq, a predicted model, not a curated record